RNAcentral lists this ribosomal RNA (501 nucleotides) under uncultured bacterium. Its description in RNAcentral is "bacterial SSU rRNA". It matches the Rfam family "Bacterial small subunit ribosomal RNA", at positions 15 to 507 of the family's 1533-position model. The record is from RNAcentral.
GAUCCUGGCUCAGAUUGAACGCUGGCGGCAGGCCUAACACAUGCAAGUCGAGCGGUAGAGAGGUGCUUGCAUCUCUUGAGAGCGACGGACGGGUGAGUAAUGCCUAGGAAUCUGCCUAGGUNUGGGGGGGGGAUAACGUUCGGAAACGGACGCUAAUACCGCAUACGUCCUACGGGAGAAAGCGGGGGAUCUUCGGACCUCGCGCCAUUAGAUGAGCCUAGGUCGGAUUAGCUAGUUGGUGAGGUAAUGGCUCACCAAGGCGACGAUCCGUAACUGGUCUGAGAGGAUGACCAGCCACACUGGGACUGAGACACGGCCCAGACUCCUACGGGAGGCAGCAGUGGGGAAUUUUGGACAAUGGGCGCAAGCCUGAUCCAGCAAUGCCGCGUGCAGGAAGAAGGCCUUCGGGUUGUAAACUGCUUUUGUACGGAACGAAACGGUCCGCUUUAAUACAGUUUGCUAAUGACGGUACCGUAAGAAUAAGCACCGGCUAACUACGUG